Vicugna pacos (alpaca) is the source of this 1466-nucleotide non-coding RNA. The record is from RefSeq and is a predicted model, not a curated record. Lineage: Eukaryota; Metazoa; Chordata; Mammalia; Artiodactyla; Camelidae.
GGUACCGGUUGUGGUGCUGUGAGCCCAUCAGGAAGGCUCGGGGCAUCCUGUAGCCCUGGGAGACCUCGACCCAUGCCCUGCCCUCGGGUCUGAGCUGAGGCUGUGGUUCACAGGCAACAGGUGAUCUCCAUGUAGGCACCAAGGGAGGCAGGAUGGCACGAUGCAUAGGAUGUGUGUGCUGGGAUCAGACUGUCUGGAUUUGAGCUACAGCUCUGGCCCUCGGGUCAUUGAUUCAACCAUCUGUGAUGUCCACACUGCCGGUCCAAGGACCAUACUUCGAGUAGCAAGAAGAAAGAGUAGCGUGCGCAUCAGACAGAUCCAGGCUUGAAACCCAGACCUGCCACCUCAUCACCCACUUGACAAGGAAAAUGGAGCCAGAGAGACUGACCUCAGAGGUCACUCAGCCGGUCAGUAGCUGGGCGAGCUUCUCACCAGGCUCACCCCCCGCUGUGGGCCAGCAGAGCGGUUCCCCGAGCAUCAUUGAUCUUUUGACUAAAGUGUUCUAAUGAAAUACAAAUCUGCUGUUACUCGGAGAGCCGUCCACCAUGGCGGCACAGGAGAAAUGCUACCAGGAGAACAAUAACCAUCAUUUCAUUGUAAAACUGCCCUCUUGCACUGUGGCCCCCACCCUCCUUGAUAGCGAGCUCACAGCUCGGUUCUGGAAAAUCGAUGCCUUUUACUGUUUCAGCUGUGUCACCGAGCAAUGGGGGGCACGGCCAUCAAUAGGGUGUUAAAGAUACUUCCACUUCUGUGCAAACUCCCUGUAGUGAGGGCCCUUGGCUUCUUGCAGUGAGUUAGCAUCUGUCAGGAGGCGGGUUAUUGGGAGGGUGAUUCAGGGCUUUUGUCCUGGGGUACUCAGUCCGAUGUAAUCCACUAAGAAGGUGGCAGGGGAAGGCCCGGGACCCCAGAAGUGAAAACACUGUCCUUAACAGCAGCAUUUUUACUGCACCCACCAUGGGAACUGAGUUUGCAGCGAGUGGUGGGCUGACCUCCAUCCAAAGCCCCAGCCAGGGAUACCCAGGGCGGUGUCCCUGUUGGAUCUACUCUGUCCCAGCGGGUGCUGGGUUCUGAAAGGGGCACCGCCCUGUCCCUCAGGAUGGUAUAACCCAGUUGGAUGUCUUCAGUUGCCCCUGAAGGAGGGUGGUGAGAUUCUAAUCAGCAGUGGCAGUUUCUAGGCUCUGGGGCCCCCUGCUGACCCCAGGACUCUCCAUCCAGGCGACUGGAGCUCUGUGUGCGGGAGACUGGUCUUCCUCAGCCUGCAUCUUGUGUGCCAAGACUCUAGACCGCCAGAGAGGGCCUUAAAUGUAAUUUACUCAACGGUUUUAUAUGUAUUUUUAUAUUACCGUUAAGGCUCACCUCCCUUUUUCUCAAAUAGGACCUGACAUGGAGCCCUCAGAGCUCAAACUCAUAGCAGCAGAGCUUCCGGGUUGAAGUGGGGAGGGACCAACUUGGCCUUGCCCUUCCCC